CAGAUUCCGGGACCCUCGUUCCCUCCGCUGUCACCAGGCCCAGGUGGGUUUCCAGGUGUGUGUGCGGCCGGGAUCCUACAAGGUGGGGCCCCAGACCCUGGGGGUCAGCGAGCCCCUGGACCCCCGCUUCAGCAACGCUGAGAUCGAGUGGCUGAUCAAGGAGAAGGGCUGCACCGUCCUCUACGGUCUUCUCGUACGGGUGGAGUGAUGGAGGGAUGACCAGAGGAAUGGAUGGAGAUGGAGGAGAGGGGAAUAGGUCCUAUUCCGCUGGUGCCUCUACAACCUCCACUCUGUCAACCCAUUUCCAGACUUUGAGACACUUUGGAGUUUUGGGAAAAUCCCUCCUGUUCCUGUGAGGAUUGUUGACAUUAACAAAUGAGCGGUUCCCCCCCCCUUCGUUUUGGACAAAGUCCGUUUGUUGAUUUGACUCUGUAAGGAGAGCGUGGAUUCAAAGGAAAACAAGACGGACACUGCCUGCACUUUAUGUUUGGGACACUUCGUAGGCGAUUUUUAAUCAACUUUUCAUGCAAAAUGCAACACUUCUUUGGUAACCACCGUGUUUCUGUUAGCACCGUCUCCCUCCCUCUCUUGUCCCGUCUCGUCUCUAGCUCUAGUUUUUAUCACCCCUUUACCUCAGACCCAUCACUCACUUUUGGUUUUGAAGCACAGGGGUGUUGGUUCUUCUCAGUUCUCCUGUGAAAAGGCAAAAAGUGCACAACCGGCGACGUUGCAUUUCAAGACUUGGACCGUUUGUUGAACCACCUCGCAGCGGCGACCACCAUCGACACCCACCAUCGCCUGUAGCGCAGCACUGUCACUGAAUUUCACUUUUUAAAACUAGACUUAACCACGGGUCAGAAUUAGAAGAGCGAUGGAUCAAAGAAUGACCCAAAAGUUAAAAAAAUGAGAAUAAUGGAGGGGGGGGGUGUAACUAAUCAGGAUAAUGUCCUGAUAGCAUCUGUAGAAGGUUUAGAGGAAUUAACUUGGACUGGAGAAAAAUGUUUACAGGUGUAACACUAACACUGUCUGUCUACAUGUGUCCUGUCUCAGACUCUUCCUCUCCAUCUCUCAUCCAUUCACCACUGUCUGUUCUCUUUGUCAGUGGGAAGCACUUCUCCAAGGGCACUGUCCUCCCAAGAACAGGCCACGUUGCAGCUAGAGUACAGAUAUGUACAUGUUCUGGUUCCGAAAAAAAAAGAGUAGUCUACCCUUUGGUCUGUGUUUUGCCAGCGAAGCAGGCUGCAUCCAGCGUCCUCUCCUCGGACCUGGUCUCCUUUUUCGACAUCUGCACUAAUCUGAAGACAUAGUUAAUUAACAUAGAAUGGAGGAACAUUUCUGGGAAUGUACUUUCACGUCACAUUUCAAUUUCUUCAGAUCAGGGCAGGCGGAAGGAAGGAAAGUGGAUUGACUGGAGGACGAACACCGGCGAGAUGUUGAAUGUUAUUUUAACGGGUCAGUUUGGCCAUUGAGCUUCUCCCUGAUUCUCCCCCAUCACUGCUACGUCCCGGUGUGGCGUGCCAAAGUCUCUGGGAUUCUACUCGUUGUAGAGAGGGAGUACCAGGGAUGUGUUCAGCGGGGAGAAAAACGUUUCCAAACAGGGAUUGGUUCGACUGCAAACCUGUCCAACAAGAGCGCAGAUUUCCGUUUUCCUUAGCAAAAAUAUCACGCUACGGUGUGCCUUACUGAACAUUUUCCUGACGCAUAAAAGGCCCCAGUUCGAUUCGGUGUCAGCUAGUGACCAGUACGGGCCCAGACCUGAAGAUGUCCCUCUGCUCAUUCUGUCCUUUUCUGAAGCUAGUUAAGGAGGGAAACGUUGCGGAACGUAGCAGAUGUCCAUCUUUCAACGAUGUGCCCUACCGCACGUGACCGUAUCCACAUGUCAUUGUUUACAUUCGAGUUUUGUUCAGGUCUUCCUCUUUGAUCCAUCCAUUCUAUCCUCGUUGACCAGGAAGGAAUGUUUAGAGCCAAUCACGUCUUAGGGGGGCGUGCCCAUGCAAAGGCUCUUAAGUCUUUCUUUACAAAAUUCAGGCCCUGGUGCUGGAGUUUACAUUGCAAAUGUGAUUCAUUAGGGUUUUAGUUUUCUGUAGUCUGCUCUUCCCCACUCAAAUUACAUUACUAAGAUUAUCGACACAUGGGUUCAUUCAUUCCUGAUCCAAAUAUUCACAAUAUUUGAUUGUACGUGGAUAGCUGUCCAAAGUGUAUCAUUGUUUAAUCGUUCAGUUCAUUCUGUUGCCAAUCAGUUUUACUUACAUAUGCAUCCUUAGCCCCGCCAUCUUGCCAAGACAUUGUUUUGACAAAGUAAAGGAAAAUUGUGGUUUUAGUGAAUUUAAGGUUCAGCAGACGUUCCUCCCACAAGACUGUGUACAACCUAAUUUAUUGCAAAAAGCACUGGGGUUUGGAAAAAAAGAACUUGCUUGCAACGUCCAAUCAAAAUGUGAAAAAUAUAUGGGGUUGUUUAAAAGCCCAGUGCUGCUUUUUACGGUCAUUUGUAUUGUUUGUUCUUUUUUUUUCCUUCUGUAUGUUGCGUUGUACAGGCUGUUACACAACAUGAAAUCAUAUCUUCCUGAUUUGUAAAAAAAAUAUAUAUAUACCGACAGACAGUAUGCACAGUA
Esox lucius (northern pike) is the source of this 2612-nucleotide long non-coding RNA. The record is from Ensembl. NCBI's taxonomy places the organism in Eukaryota, Metazoa, Chordata, Actinopteri, Esociformes, Esocidae.